Molecule: ribosomal RNA, 446 nt
Filed under: uncultured bacterium
Lineage: Bacteria
Description: partial 16S ribosomal RNA
Rfam family: Bacterial small subunit ribosomal RNA
Source: RNAcentral
CCUACGGGUGGCAGCAGUCGAGAAUCAUUCACAAUGGGGGAAACCCUGAUGGUGCGACGCCGCGUGGGGGAAUGAAGGUCUUCGGAUUGUAAACCCCUGUCAUGUGGGAGCAAAUUAAAAAGAUAGUACCACAAGAGGAAGAGACGGCUAACUCUGUGCCAGCAGCCGCGGUAAUACAGAGGUCUCAAGCGUUGUUCGGAAUCACUGGGCGUAAGGCGUGCGUAGGCUGUUUAGUAAGUCGUGUGUGAAAGGCGCGGGCUCAACCCGCGGACGGCACAUGAUACUGCGAGACUAGAGUAAUGGAGGGGGAACCGGAAUUCUCGGUGUAGCAGUGAAAUGCGUAGAUAUCGAGAGGAACACUCGUGGCGAAGGCGGGUUCCUGGACAUUAACUGACGCUGAGGCACGAAGGCCAGGGGAGCGAAAGGGAUUAGAUACCCGGGUAGUC